CGAAAGCCUGACGGAGCAAGACCGCGUGAGGGAGGAAGGCUCUUGGGUUGUAAACCUCUUUUCUCAGGGAAGAAGCUCUGACGGUACAAAAGGAAUCAGCCUCGGCUAACUCCGUGCCAGCAGCCGCGGUAAUACGGAGGAGGCAAGCGUUAUCCGGAAUGAUUGGGCGUAAAGCGUCCGCAGGUGGCAAUGUAAGUCUGCUGUCAAAACCCAGGGCUCAACUCUGGUCAGGCAGUGGAAACUACAUAGCUAGAGUUCGGUAGGGGCAAAGGGAAUUCCCGGUGUAGCGGUGAAAUGCGUAGAGAUCGGGAAGAACAUCGGUGGCGAAAGCGCUUUGCUAGACCGAAACGGACACUCAGGGACGAAAGCUAGGGUAGCG
This 379-nucleotide ribosomal RNA is filed under the name uncultured cyanobacterium. RNAcentral describes it as "bacterial SSU rRNA". It matches the Rfam family "Bacterial small subunit ribosomal RNA", at positions 376 to 770 of the family's 1533-position model. The record is from RNAcentral. Lineage: Bacteria; Bacillati; Cyanobacteriota.